Molecule: ribosomal RNA, 253 nt
Filed under: uncultured bacterium
Lineage: Bacteria
Description: partial 16S ribosomal RNA
Rfam family: Bacterial small subunit ribosomal RNA
Source: RNAcentral
GACGAACCGUGCGAACGUUGUUCGGAAUCACUGGGCUUAAAGGGCGCGUAGGCGGCCGGGUUGGUCGUGGGUGAAAUCCCCCAGCUUAACUGGGGAACUGCCUACGAUACUGCCUGGCUCGAGGGAGGAAGGGGCGGUCGGAACUGGCGGUGGAGCGGUGAAAUGCGUUGAUAUCGACAGGAACGCCGGUGGCGAAAGCGGACCGCUGGCCCUCUUCUGACGCUGAGGCGCGAAAGCCAGGGGAGCGAACGGG